This 637-nucleotide long non-coding RNA is filed under the name Cottoperca gobio. RNAcentral's name for it is "lncRNA (ENSCGOG00000013122.1)". Lineage: Eukaryota; Metazoa; Chordata; Actinopteri; Perciformes; Bovichtidae. The record is from RNAcentral.
AUUGUUCAAAAAGAUUAAGCCGCUCCUGGACCUGACAGCAUUCCUGCCCAUGCCAUGCCAAGUUUGCUUACAACACGACUGUCAUUGGCCUGAUCACCGAUGGCGACGAGACGACGUACAGAGAGGAGGUCAAAGCCCUGACAUCUUGGUGCCACCAUCCAGAGUGGCCUCCUCUCAAAUGCGACCAGUCUAUCAGGGCUUCACUCCACUAUCCAUGUCCCAAAGCCACUCUUCCAGACGCCGUAUGUCCGACCUGCCAGACACUCAACCUGCAGACGCACAGCGGCAUCUCUGACUGGACAUUCGCCUGCCUCUAAUGUGCCCUCAAGGAAAGAAAAAUCUCAUUCCACUGGCCUGCCUGCCUGCCCCAUUAUUCUCUCACCAUCUGUCUACUGGAGAGUAUUGUAUAAAUAAAUUAUUUAAACUUACUCCGUUUCCAGAGUCUAGUGCGCCUGGGUCUUCUCUGGACGUACCCAUAACACACCAAAGGCUAUUCACAUUUCUUAUCCUCUUGUGCGCAUGUCAAUACAUAUUUGUCCACUCAGAAAUAAGUAUCUCCUGAUUGAAAUAGCAUGUAGAAGUAAAACUGCAAGAUCAUUAACCAAACUUUAACAAGUGUGUUUGAAUAAAGUUAAUU